GGAUUAGAUACCCUGGUAGUCCACGCUGUAAACGCUGUCGACUAGCCGUGGGGCUCAUUUAAGGGUUUCGUGGCGCAGCUAACGCGAUAAGUCGACCGCCUGGGGAGUACGGCCGCAAGGUUAAAACUCAAAGGAAUUGACGGGGGCCCGCACAAGCGGUGGAGCAUGUGGUUUAAUUCGAUGCAACGCGAAGAACCUUACCAGCCCUUGACAUUGAGAGAAUCCCUUGGAGACGAGGGAGUGCCUUCGGGCCUUGAAAACAGGUGCUGCAUGGCUGUCGUCAGCUCGUGCUG
RNAcentral lists this ribosomal RNA (293 nucleotides) under uncultured bacterium. RNAcentral's name for it is "partial 16S ribosomal RNA". It matches the Rfam family "Bacterial small subunit ribosomal RNA", at positions 775 to 1067 of the family's 1533-position model. The record is from RNAcentral.